Molecule: ribosomal RNA, 253 nt
Filed under: uncultured bacterium
Lineage: Bacteria
Description: partial 16S ribosomal RNA
Rfam family: Bacterial small subunit ribosomal RNA
Source: RNAcentral
GACAGAGGCCUCGAGCGUUAGGCGGAAUCACGGGGCUUAAAGCGUGUGUAGGCGGGCCCGUAAGUGUCUUGUGAAAUCCCACGGCUCAACCGUGGAACUGCUGGGCAUACUGCGGGUCUUGGGCCAACUAGGGGCAGCCGGAACAAGCGGUGGAGCGGUGAAAUGCGUAGAUAUCGCUUGGAACGCCGAAGGUGAAAACAGGCUGCUGGGGUUGCGCCGACGCUGAGACACGAAAGCCAGGGGAGCAAACGGG